CGACUCUCGGCAACGGAUAUCUUGGCUCUCGCAUCGAUGAAGAACGUAGCGAAAUGCGAUACUUGGUGUGAAUUGCAGAAUCCCGUGAACCAUCGAGUUUUUGAACGCAAGUUGCGCCCGAGGCUAUCCGGCCGAGGGCACGCCUGCCUGGGCGUCACGCCUAGCGUCGCUCC
RNAcentral lists this ribosomal RNA (173 nucleotides) under Ophiopogon tonkinensis. RNAcentral's name for it is "5.8S ribosomal RNA". It matches the Rfam family "5.8S ribosomal RNA". From Rfam's summary of the family: 5.8S ribosomal RNA (5.8S rRNA) is a component of the large subunit of the eukaryotic ribosome. The record is from RNAcentral. Lineage: Eukaryota; Viridiplantae; Streptophyta; Magnoliopsida; Asparagales; Asparagaceae.